Molecule: ribosomal RNA, 775 nt
Filed under: uncultured Neocallimastigales
Lineage: Eukaryota; Fungi; Neocallimastigomycota; Neocallimastigomycetes; Neocallimastigales
Description: partial large subunit ribosomal RNA
Rfam family: Eukaryotic large subunit ribosomal RNA
Source: RNAcentral
CGCAUCUGUGCAUGCAGCAUAUCAAUAAGCGGAGGAAAAGAAACUAACAAGGAUUCCCCUAGUAACGGCGAGUGAAGCGGGAAGAGCUCAAAUUUGAAAUCUUAAAGGGUUUCCCUUUACGAAUUGUAGUUUAAAGAAGUGUUUUCUGUUGAGGUUUUGGUAAAAGUUCUUUGGAAUAGGGACAUCAUAGAGGGUGAGAAUCCCGUAUUUGACCUUUACUUUCAACUUUGUGAUACACUUUCAAAGAGUCGGAUUGUUUGGGAAUGCAGUCCAAAAUGGGUGGUAAAUUUCAUCUAAAGCUAAAUAUUGGCGAGAGACCGAUAGCGAACAAGUACCGUGAGGGAAAGAUGAAAAGAACUUUGAAAAGAGAGUUAAACAGUACGUGAAAUUGUCAAAAGGGAAGCGUUUGACACCAGUGUUGUUUUUCUGAAAAUCAAUUAAAGAACUGUUUAUGCUAAGCUGUUUAGACUUUAUCAGCUAUCUGUUUAGUUUUGAGCUUUUCUUUAAUGCACUUUUCAGUUAACAAGUCAACAUCAAUUUCUUUUGCUGUAAAAAGGCUUGAGGAAGGUGGCUUGAGAUUCGUCUUAAGUGUUUAUAGCCUCUUGCCUAUGCAGUCGGAGAGAUUGAGGUCUGCAGCGUAGAUCCUUCGGGGCUAAAUGCAUUUGUGCUAAGUUAUAGCAUUUUAUAGACAACUUGUUGACUAUGAUUUGUCUUGUAGCUUACUCGCUUAUGUUAUUUUACCUACGCUUAGGAUGUUGAACGCGCACAGAGUCUC